Molecule: RNA transcript, 292 nt
Organism: Zea mays
Lineage: Eukaryota; Viridiplantae; Streptophyta; Magnoliopsida; Poales; Poaceae
Gene name: S-adenosyl-L-methionine-dependent methyltransferase pseudogene
Source: RefSeq, marked validated
UUGACGGUUAUAUCCGUAUCUUUAAGUGGAGGAAGUUCAAAGUCCGGAAUGUAAUGGACAUGAGGGCUGGAUUUGGAGGGUUUGCAGCUGCUUUGAUCCGCCAGAAACUGGAUUGGUGGGUGAUGAAUGUUGUUCCUAUUAGUGAGCCAAAUACACUACCUGUAAUUUUUGAUCGGGGGCUUCUUGGAGUAGCUCAUGACUGGUGUGAACCCUUUGAUACAUACCCUAGGACGUACGAUCUACUUCAUGCAUCUGGUCUUUUCUCAAAGGAGCAGAACAGGUAUGUCUUUUA